This 1475-nucleotide ribosomal RNA is filed under the name uncultured bacterium. RNAcentral describes it as "bacterial SSU rRNA". It matches the Rfam family "Bacterial small subunit ribosomal RNA". The record is from RNAcentral.
CUCAGGAUGAACGCUAGCGGCAGGCUUAACACAUGCAAGUCGAGGGGCAGCGGGGAGGAAGCUUGCUUUCUCCGCCGGCGACCGGCGCACGGGUGAGUAACACGUAUGCAACCUGCCCCUGUCAAGGGGACAACCCGCCGAAAGGCGGGCUAAACCCGCGUACAUGCCACCGGGGCAUCCCGGAGGCAGGAAAGGCUUCGGCCGGACAGGGAUGGGCAUGCGGCGCAUUAGGCAGUAGGCGGGGUAACGGCCCACCUAACCGACGAUGCGUAGGGGUUCUGAGAGGAAGGUCCCCCACACUGGUACUGAGACACGGACCAGACUCCUACGGGAGGCAGCAGUGAGGAAUAUUGGUCAAUGGUCGGGAGACUGAACCAGCCAAGCCGCGUGAGGGAGGAAGGUACAGAGUAUCGUAAACCUCUUUUGUCAGGGAACAAAGACUGGGACGCGUCCCCGGAUGAGUGUACCUGAAGAAAAAGCAUCGGCUAACUCCGUGCCAGCAGCCGCGGUAAUACGGAGGAUGCGAGCGUUAUCCGGAUUUAUUGGGUUUAAAGGGUGCGCAGGCGGUCUGUUAAGUCAGCGGCCAAAGCCCGGGGCUCAACCCCGGCCCGCCGUUGAAACUGGCAGUCUCGAGUUGGAGAGAAGUAUGCGGAAUGCGCGGUGUAGCGGUGAAAUGCAUAGAUAUCGCGCAGAACUCCGAUUGCGAAGGCAGCAUGCCGGCUCCACACUGACGCUGAGGCACGAAAGCGUGGGUAUCGAACAGGAUUAGAUACCCUGGUAGUCCACGCAGUAAACGAUGAAUGCUGGCUGUCCGGGGGGACUGACCCCUGGGUGGCGAAGCGAAAGCGAUAAGCAUUCCACCUGGGGAGUACGCCGGCAACGGUGAAACUCAAAGGAAUUGACGGGGGCCCGCACAAGCGGAGGAACAUGUGGUUUAAUUCGAUGAUACGCGAGGAACCUUACCCGGGCUCAAACGGGGAGUGGCGCAGGCAGAGACGCCUGUUUCCCACGGGACACUCCCCGAGGUGCUGCAUGGUUGUCGUCAGCUCGUGCCGUGAGGUGUCGGCUUAAGUGCCAUAACGAGCGCAACCCCCGCGUGCAGUUGCUAACAGUCAACGCUGAGGACUCUGCACGGACUGCCGGCGCAAGCCGCGAGGAAGGCGGGGAUGACGUCAAAUCAGCACGGCCCUUACGUCCGGGGCGACACACGUGUUACAAUGGGUGGUACAGCGGGAAGCCAGGCGGCGACGCCGAGCGGAACCCGAAAUCCACUCUCAGUUCGGAUCGGAGUCUGCAACCCGACUCCGUGAAGCUGGAUUCGCUAGUAAUCGCGCAUCAGCCAUGGCGCGGUGAAUACGUUCCCGGGCCUUGUACACCGCCCGUCAAGCCAUGGGAGCCGAGGGCGCUUGAAGUGCGUCGCCGCGAGGCGCGCCCUAGAGCGAAAUCGGUGACUGGGGCUAAGUCGUAACAAGGUA